AUUGUGCAGAAAUGGAUAGACUUACAUUGAAUAUCAAACAGAAAGAAGAUACAGAAUAUUAUCAAACGUAGGACUUAUUUUACCAAUAUUGGGGAAAAGGGGUGGAGAGUAAGAAGGAAAUUUGAAUUGUUAAGCAAUUUAAUACCCAGUAAUACCAAUAAACUCAAUGUUAUUAAGCACUUAUUAAGCACUAAGAAAUGUAAUAAAUAGAAAAUUAAAAAAAUAAAUUUAAAAAUUAAUUAUUUCAUCAGUGAUGAGUAUGUUUUGCUCUUGUGAUGUCUUUAGCCUGAAACCUGAUCACAUUUUUUGUAUUACACUGUCCAUUUUUUGUCAAAACGUAGUCAGAAUCCUGCUGUAUCUCGCUCUAUGAUUUUCCCACCCUGGACUACUCACGAAAGGGUACAGUUGACUGGACAGAGCUGACAGACAUUGUCUUCAUCAGGGUACUUCCAAACAGUUCUAGAUUUUCCAGUCAAUCUCUUCUCCAAAUAAAUCAGAACCAAUUCUGUUUGGCUUUGUAAGGUUCUUGCUGUCAAAAGCAUAUUUUGAGGAGCUACAAGCCACGACCUCAUCUUUUGAGAAGUACAGACAGCUUAAACUUUUAGGCCUUCAAACAAAAUUGCUCAGUGAUUACAAUGGUACCAUGUUUUCAACCUUAUUCUCUGGUCCUAUGAGUUAAUAUCCUUAAAAAAAUAAAAGCUUUCUAAAGAUGCUGAAUUGUGAAAUAAGCUGCUAUUUCUGUAAACAACUCUGGAUGGUUAUUUAUCCUUUAAAAAGCUCACCUAGAAAACAAAAUAGGCCCUGGCUUUAAAAAAAUAGCAAAGCUUAAUUGCAGCUCUAAUUUACUGGGCUUGCUCAGAGGCUUCCCAAUGCAUAACCUGGGAUGCAUUACCCAGAACUACACAGAUGCAUCCCAGAAACUGAUACAGCCUUCUGACUCUAAGACUUGG
Thamnophis elegans (Western terrestrial garter snake) is the source of this 950-nucleotide long non-coding RNA. RefSeq lists it as uncharacterized. The record is from RefSeq and is a predicted model, not a curated record. The transcript has 4 exons. Lineage: Eukaryota; Metazoa; Chordata; Lepidosauria; Squamata; Natricidae.